UACGAAGGGUGCGAGCGUUAUUCGGAAUCACUGGGCGUAAAGGGUGCGUAGGCGGUCUUCUAAGUUUGAUGUGAAAUCCCGGGGCUCAACCCUGGAAUUGCAUUGAAUACUGGAGGACUAGAGUACCGGAGAGGAAACUGGAAUUUACGGUGUAGCAGUGAAAUGCGUAGAGAUCGUAAGGAAGACCAGUGGCGAAGGCGAGUUUCUGGACGGUAACUGACGCUGAGGCACGAAGGCCAGGGGAGCAAACGGG
Molecule: ribosomal RNA, 253 nt
Filed under: uncultured bacterium
Lineage: Bacteria
Description: partial 16S ribosomal RNA
Rfam family: Bacterial small subunit ribosomal RNA
Source: RNAcentral